This 555-nucleotide ribosomal RNA is filed under the name Rhabdosargus haffara (Haffara seabream). RNAcentral's name for it is "partial large subunit ribosomal RNA". It matches the Rfam family "Bacterial large subunit ribosomal RNA", at positions 1857 to 2606 of the family's 2925-position model. Lineage: Eukaryota; Metazoa; Chordata; Actinopteri; Spariformes; Sparidae. The record is from RNAcentral.
GCCUGCCCUGUGACUAUAUGUUUAACGGCCGCGGUAUUCUGACCGUGCGAAGGUAGCGCAAUCACUUGUCUUUUAAAUGGAGACCUGUAUGAAUGGCAUCACGAGGGCUUAGCUGUCUCUCCCUCCCAGUCAAUGAAAUUGAUUUCCCCGUGCAGAAGCGGGGAUAAAGACAUAAGACGAGAAGACCCUAUGGGAGCUAAGACGCCAGAACAGCUCACGUUAAACAGCCCCCCACAAAGGGAAUAAACCGAGUGAAACCCUGCUCUAGUGUUUUUGGUUGGGGCGACCGCGGGGAAAAAUUUAACCCCCAUGUGGAACGGGAACACUAUUGUCCUCAAUCCCAGAGCACCCGCUCUAAUAAACAGAACUUCUGACCAACAAAGAUCCGGCAGGGCCGAUCAACGGACCGAGUUACCCUAGGGAUAACAGCGCAAUCCUCUUAAAGAGCCCAUAUCGACUAGAGGGUUUACGACCUCGAUGUUGGAUCAGGACAUCCUAAUGGUGCAGCCGCUAUUAAGGGUUCGUUUGUUCAACGAUUAAAGUCCUACAUGAUCU